Molecule: ribosomal RNA, 440 nt
Filed under: uncultured bacterium
Lineage: Bacteria
Description: partial 16S ribosomal RNA
Rfam family: Bacterial small subunit ribosomal RNA
Source: RNAcentral
CCUACGGGAGGCAGCAGUGGGGAAUAUUGCACAAUGGGGGAAACCCUGAUGCAGCGACGCCGCGUGAGUGAAGAAGUAAUUCGUUAUGUAAAGCUCUAUCAGCAGGGAAGAAAAUGACGGUAUCUGAGUAAGAAGCCCCGGCUAACUACGUGCCAGCAGCCGCGGUAAUACGUAGGGGGCAAGCGUUAUCCGGAUAUACUGGGUGGAAAGGGAGCGUAGACGGCAGUGCAAGUCUGGAGUGAAAGGCGGGGGCUCAACCCCCGGACUGCUCUGGAAACUGUACGGCUGGAGUGCAGGAGUGGUAAGUAGAAUUCCUAGUGUAGCGGUGAAAUGCGUAGAUAUUAGGAGGAACACCAGUGGCGAAGGCGGCUUACUGGACUGUAACUGACGUUGAGGCGCGAAAGCGUGGGGAGCAAACAGGAUUAGAUACCCCUGUAGUC